This 126-nucleotide non-coding RNA is filed under the name Candidatus Woeseibacteriota. The record is from RNAcentral.
GUUCACUUCACGGGGUCCCGUUAGAUGCACAAAGUGCUAUCUAACCGGGAAAGGAACACCGGUGUAAAUCCGGGGCUGUUUCGCAACUGUGAGAGCCAGAAAACUAGCGGAUUCGAAGCCACAGAA